GACAGAGGUGCCGAGCGUUAGGCGGAAUCACUGGGCUUAAAGCGUGUGUAGGCGGGGUUGUAAGUACCUUGUGAAAUCCCACGGCUCAACCGUGGAACUGCUUGGUAUACUGCGAUUCUUGAGCCACUUAGGGGCUACCGGAACAAAUGGUGGAGCGGUGAAAUGCGUAGAUAUCAUUUGGAACGCCAAUGGUGAAAACAGGUAGCUGGGAGUGUGCUGACGCUGAGACACGAAAGCCAGGGGAGCGAACGGG
RNAcentral lists this ribosomal RNA (253 nucleotides) under uncultured bacterium. RNAcentral's name for it is "partial 16S ribosomal RNA". It matches the Rfam family "Bacterial small subunit ribosomal RNA", at positions 524 to 776 of the family's 1533-position model. The record is from RNAcentral.